GGAGAGAUGGCCGAGUGGCUGAAGGCGCACGCUUGGAAAGCGUGUGUACCGCAAGGUACCGGGGGUUCGAAUCCCCCUUUCUCCGCCA
RNAcentral lists this transfer RNA (88 nucleotides) under Candidatus Kerfeldbacteria bacterium CG_4_9_14_3_um_filter_45_8. RNAcentral describes it as "tRNA-Ser". It matches the Rfam family "tRNA". From Rfam's summary of the family: Transfer RNA (tRNA) molecules are approximately 80 nucleotides in length. Their secondary structure includes four short double-helical elements and three loops (D, anti-codon, and T loops). RNAcentral also lists the same sequence under 1 other name. The record is from RNAcentral. Lineage: Bacteria; Candidatus Kerfeldiibacteriota.